Molecule: small RNA, 108 nt
Filed under: Sinorhizobium meliloti 2011
Lineage: Bacteria; Pseudomonadati; Pseudomonadota; Alphaproteobacteria; Hyphomicrobiales; Rhizobiaceae
Description: putative ncRNA
Source: RNAcentral
GACCGAGAUGAACUGGUCGCGCUGCGGCUCGCCGCGCGCAGUCCAGUAGUAGCGGAUGAAGCGGAUCGUACUGUCGACGGCGUCGGAGCCGCCGAGCGUGAAAUAAAC